Long non-coding RNA from Camellia sinensis, 801 nucleotides. RefSeq lists it as uncharacterized. The record is from RefSeq and is a predicted model, not a curated record. Lineage: Eukaryota; Viridiplantae; Streptophyta; Magnoliopsida; Ericales; Theaceae.
CAUCAUUUCUCUAACUUGUAAUAUUCUCACCCUUUCGGUCACCACAACUUCUCUUCUCCAAGCAACUCUUUCUUUCUCACUCUCUUCUUCUGCAAUUUCUCUCUACAAUCACUGCGGGCAUGUAAGGAACUCUUUUAUUCGAUCAAGCCAUAUAGGUUGAAUUGAACGAACUGGAAUCAGAUACCUUAUCAGUGCAACUUGUGCAUUAUGAUGUGCAAGGCAACUACCAGGUCCGAGAAUUAUCUAAUGCUAGGGAUGAUCUUCUUAUUAGAUUUGGCAUUUAGAUAUCUGAAGUUGGGCAGGUCAUGAAAUCAUUAGGUUGCCAACUUUUCUCCAAAUUUGUGUUAGCAUUCAACAUUUUUAAAGUAUAGUUUGCAUUACUGGGCAUGGAAAUGAAGGAUUUCAAUGUAAGCUGGUGGCAGUGGUUAUGGAGCCCUGGAAUAUUUGACUAAAUGCUAGAGUGGUUAUGGAUCCCCUUCUCCCCUGGCACCCAAAAAAAUAAAUAAAGAAUGAAAGAAAAAGAAAGAGUAAACUGUUAAACAAAGUAGAAUUGAGUUUCAGUUAGGAUGAAGUGUAAAUUAAGAGAAAAAAAUCUUAAGAUACCUAGUUUUUUUUUUUUUUAUUGGCUUUUAAGAUAUGUUGUUUCCAUCUGAUAAUCAAUUUUGCUAGAUGUUUAGAAUUUUGAAACAUCAUAGUUAUAAUAGCACUAGUGAAUUGUUUAACUGCUCAUUAGCCAGCAAUUUCCAGUAAAUAUUGGAGCUUAAAUUGCCAUUUUAUAUAACAUAAGUUAUUUAUGCUGAA